Non-coding RNA from Ictidomys tridecemlineatus (thirteen-lined ground squirrel), 2580 nucleotides. Lineage: Eukaryota; Metazoa; Chordata; Mammalia; Rodentia; Sciuridae. The record is from RefSeq and is a predicted model, not a curated record.
GAGAGAGAGAGAGAGAGAGGAGAAGAGAGAGAGAGGUCUGAAGGUACUUCUCCCCCCCCCCCAACCCUGAGGAUGGUGAUUCGCUUUUGCUUUCUUUGAAAUGGACCAAGUGAUCAGACUCCCCUAGGCCGGCAGGCAUCAGUGGCAGGAAAAUAAAUCAUUCUGAUGGCCAAGGAGAGAGAGGUUAGUGGGGGAGAAAAAAAAUCUUCGUAGAAAACAAGAAAGGCUGACCAAGGAGCGAGGGCAGAACUCUGUCUCUGAGGCCAGCAUCAGAGGGGGUUUGGGUUGGAAAUGAGAUAUUAAAGUGGCCUCCAACCUCGACUAGCCAAGAGGCAUUGCAUUACAGAUAGAGAUGCUAUUUUGGAAAAUGUGAGGUUUUUCAGUUUUCUUGCUUUUAUUCCAAACAAAGCUCUGAAGGAAGUCUGGGCACGAUCAAUCUUGCUCACCAAAAGCCUUGACAGCUUCUGGCCCUUAAGAACACAUUUCAGCUUCAAGCUCUUUCCAAGAUCAAAUGUGGCCGAGCAAAGAGGAGAGCAGGAAACGCAAGUAAACAAGGAAAACUAGUCUUUUUAAAGAUAUUUUUUGGCAGUGGAAGGGUUCUAGGGUUGCUUUUAGGAAAGGUGCUUUGUGGAUUUGGUGAUGGUGGCUUUUGGCAUUUGCUUUUAUCAGAAAAUUUUGAGGGAAGGGGAGGGGAGAUGCAUAGAGGAAGCAGCACUGCCUCUAUAUAGCUGGGCUUUGUCAGGGGCUGCGUGGGUGAGAGCUUUCUGCCUGUUUCAGCCCCCUUAAUUCAAAUACCAUCUGGAAGAAAAUGCUUUUCUGAAGCUGCUCAACACUGAAAUAGUCCCCAAAUCUAUUACUUUAACUCAGGAUAUAUUUUAAUAAGAAUUUCUUUGAAUAUCUAGAAAGCUGAGGAUGAGAUCAAUAUUUUUCUUUGAAAGCCAAAAUGAAUGCCUUAGAGUGGCAAGAUAUGGAAAAUCAUAUUAGAUUCUCAUUUUACAAUUUCUGCCCUGAGGGAAGGAAGAAGCUUCUAAAGCAUUCCUCCCUCAGCUAGAGUAGAUUUUUAGAAAUGGUUCAAAUGGUGGUAACCCAGAAAGAUUUUCAUCCUUAGGUGGAUAUCCAUAUUCUUCGAUUCUCUUUCUCUCCUUCUCCUCCUCUUCCUCUUCCUCCUCCUCCUUCACCUCCUCCAUAUAUACUGCUCCUUAUUUUCCCAGGUAACUUACAUAUGUCUCUAAAAUAGUUACUUAAAAAGAAGACUCCUGUAUCUGCUCAGCGUGAACAACCAAAAGGUGGAAGCUCCAAUCCUCACAAAGGCUGAUUUUCCUGCCUCUGCAUUUCUGAGGUCUGAUCAUAUUUCCCCAGAGAGGUUGGGGUAGGGGGAGCAAGACCAUUUCCCCACAGACCAAACUCUUUGAAAAGAAAACAUAUAUAUUAGGAGCUGCAGGACAGAUGUGGAGAAAGCACCUCUGGGUGUAAGAAAAACACCCAGCUCUCUGAAGCUGCCUGGCUUCGCAGCCUUCGAGACUUUUUCUUAAAAGAAGAAAAGGUUACCUAAAAGCAGUUCGUUGGGACCUAACAGGACCUAACAGGUACCCAGAAAUGGCUCCAGUGCCUAAGGAUCCUCUGAGGGCACUUCUCGGGAGGAUGAUAAAGGCCAUGAUGAUGGAUAUUUUGGAUUGCAAACAAAAUGGCGACAUUUUUCACUUCUGCCUCUGAGAGAUACAAUCCAGAGAGGAUGGGGCUUAUUUCUUACAUCAGAUACUUCUGAUCCCCAGACACAGGCGGUUCUUUACUCCCAGUUUUGAGGAUGAUGAUGACCGGGAAUGCAGCUCUGAGGUCUGGGGGAGUUUCAAUCCCUUUAGAUCUGCUUGGCUCUUCGAGGCGAUUUCGGGAGAGAUGGUUCUCUUCUGGCGCGAUAAACGACUGCGAAGCGUCCGCGAAGGAGACCAUAAGUCUGACCGCUCUUGGAAAGAGUUCUGCAUCCUCUGCAUGGUUGGUGAUUCACGGGGUUAAGACGUCGGCUGGUUCGCUUUGACCGGAGCUGAAGAACACGGGACGACUGCCCUGAGUUUUCCCUACGCGCGGCCGCGGGGCACCUGUGCGCCCCCCACCGCGCCUGGGCCGGGCUGCCUUUGUUUCUGACAACCGGUCGUUCCACAGACCCUGCGCCCUCCGCCUGCCUCCGCGGCAGCUGGGAACCAAGCAGCCCAGCAGGUCCGCCACACAGCCUUUCCGUAUCUGCCGCCACCAAGAACCCCGACUGCCUUCCGGAAUAUUUGCCGAGCUUUUAGGCGAGCCGCCGGCCAGGCCCCAAGCCGGAGGAGCUGGGUAGGCGGUCGCGGCCUACUCCGCCAGCUCGCUUCCGCCUGAAGUCCACGCAGACACCCAUCUUCAGCCAAAGAACCCCUUUUGAACACGGAUGUUAAUCAGAAUAAAAACUUUAUUUUUUAUUUUUUGUUUUGUUCUCAGAAUGUGAGCAGCAAGGAAUGUAGAACUCUCAAAACAAAUCUUAGCAUUUUUCGCGUUUACAGAUUGGUUGUUCAGUUUUGCCGGAUGUUACAAACCUAAAUCACUGUUUUCAAA